UACGUAGGGUGGCGAGCGUUAAUCGGAAUUACUGGGCGUAAAGCGUGCGCAGGCGGUUUUGUAAGCCAGAUGUGAAAUCCCCGGGCUUAACCUGGGAAUGGCAUUUGGGACUGCAUCGCUGGAGUGCGGCAGAGGGGGAUGGAAUUCCGGCGUGUAGCAGUCGAAAUGCGUAGAUAAUGCGGAGGAACACCGAUGGCGAAGGCAAUCCCUGGGCC
RNAcentral lists this ribosomal RNA (215 nucleotides) under uncultured bacterium. RNAcentral's name for it is "partial 16S ribosomal RNA". It matches the Rfam family "Bacterial small subunit ribosomal RNA", at positions 524 to 735 of the family's 1533-position model. The record is from RNAcentral.